UAGGGAAUAUUGCGCAAUGGACGCAAGUCUGACGCAGCAACGCCGCGUGGGUGAUGACGUUUUUCGGAAUGUAAAACCCUGUCAGUGGGGAAGAACCGUAUCGGGAGUCACUGCCCGGUGCCUGACGGUACCCACAGAGGAAGUCCCGGCUAACUCCGUGCCAGCAGCCGCGGUAAUACGGGGGGGACAAGCGUUGUUCGGAUUUACUGGGUGUAAAGGGCGCGUAGGCGGGCCGCAAAGUCGGCGGUGUCAUCCCCGGGCUUAACUCGGGGGCUGCCGUCGAUACUGGCGGUCUUGAGUACAGGAGAGGAGAGUGGAAUUCCAGGUGUAGCGGUGAAAUGCGUAGAUAUCUGGAAGAACACCCGUUGCGAAGGCGGCUCUCUGGACUGCUACUGACGCUGAGGCGCGAAGGCUUGGGGAGCAAACAGG
RNAcentral lists this ribosomal RNA (429 nucleotides) under uncultured bacterium. RNAcentral describes it as "bacterial SSU rRNA". It matches the Rfam family "Bacterial small subunit ribosomal RNA", at positions 355 to 776 of the family's 1533-position model. The record is from RNAcentral.